This is a non-coding RNA of Sus scrofa (pig), 2732 nucleotides long. Lineage: Eukaryota; Metazoa; Chordata; Mammalia; Artiodactyla; Suidae. The record is from RefSeq and is a predicted model, not a curated record.
UGGCCCUGAAAAGACAAAAAAAUUAAAAAAAAAAAAAAAAAAAAAAAAACAGUGGGAGGGCUCUUCGUUCUAGUUAUGGAUAGACUCCCUGAGCAGGACACCCAGCCAACUGAAGCCCCACUCAAAGGAGCAGGGGUACGGUCUGUCACUACCGAGGCCUGCCGUCCGUGUGGCAGGCAGGGUGAGAACAGAGCUCAUAACCUGAUCUGUCUCCUGUGAACAGGACAGGGCAGGAUGGCUAAAUAUAGACCAGCGUCCAGAACCAAAAACACACGGCUCAGGCAGCCUCACUGCGUGAUAACAGUUCCUUCCACCCUGCACAGCAGUUUAUGUUUGGAUCCUGGAGCUCUUCAUUCCUCUGGCCCCUCGAGGGAAGGUUCUGACACACUGCCUGCCCUGCUGCGCUUACUGAGCAGCUCGUUCGCAUCCGGGCAUUUAGCAGGCGCAGGACAUUGUGCUAAACACCAUCGGAGACACAGAGAUGGACUUCUGAGAGUUCACGGUCUCGUUGUGAAGGAGAGAUGUGUGAAUUCCCAACAUGAAAUAAACGGCCAAAGGAAGUAAUAUAAAAGCUUUAGAGGAAGGCAUGCUUGCUUCUCGCCAGAGGCCUUUCAGCAAGCAUGGCGUGGACUGUGGGCCUUCGUUUGCUUCUGUGAAAUGAGAUUCCCCCCCCACCUCCCCUGCCGGGAAGAGCAGGUUCUGCAAGGAUGUGUGACCAGAGACUGUGCGAGUGGCCUCUGAGCCACAGCCACUCCCGCUUCCCCCUGCGCCCUUCGCAGGAUCGAUUUCUGCUGAAGGGUACCGAGAGAUCCUAUCCGCCAAGGUCAGGGUCGCUGUCGCGUCUCCGAGAUGAUGUUCUUUCCCAGAUCCUUCCUCGGAAGGGGGAUGGGGAAGCACGGCCCCGAAAGGUCUCCCAGGGUCUCAUGUUACCGCCUGUCUCUGCCUCCCGUUUUUUCUUCCUCUGCUUUAUAGUUUUUAUAAACACUGAGAGACUUAUACUUUUGAACUUGGGGAAUUAUUUAUACUAAUCUUUAGUAGUUUGAGCCAGCAAAUGUUUACUUACCAUGCAAAUGUGAGUAGCCUUAUAAACGCAUGGCAGAACACCAGUCCCGCUGGCCAGUGUCCUGGGGAUCAGAUCUCUGACUUGACUUCCUGCGCCCCCACCGGAAUAGAGAAUGCGUCUUCAUUCUUCCUAAUGUAUCUUUCUCCUGGUACAGCAGAAGGACCUCUGGACUAGGAGAUCUGAGUUGUAUUUAUUUUAUUUUAUAUUUUGUCUUUUUAGGGCUGUACUCAAGGCACAUGGAGGUUCCUAGCCUAUACUACAGCCACAGCAACUCAGAAUCCGAACCGUGCCUGCAACCUACACUAUUGCUCACAGCAACGCCAGAUCUUUAAUCCACCGAGUGAGACCAGGGAUCCAACCCACAUCCUCAUGGAUACUAGUUGGGUUCAUUAAUCACUGAGCCACAGCGGGAACUCUGGAGAUCCAAGUUUUAACUCCGAGGUCCACGCGUGACCCACUGUGUGGCCUUGGACAAGCAGCCCUGCCUUUCUGGACCACAGUUUCUCCAGCUAUAAAUGAGAGAUCUGAGGGCGAGGGGAGAGGGCGAUGGUGGUAAGUGAGUAAUUAGGGUCCCUUCUAGUUGUCAUCUUCUGUGAGCUUUUGUAUAAAGUGAAGACAUUCUGUGUUUGGCUUUAAAUAUAUGAAUAACUUCGCUAAUAAUGAUGUGUGUCUGAGGAUUUUUGAGGAUUAGUCCUUCUUAAAUAAUUUCAGGUUGGGAUUGUGAGUUAAAGUGACCUGGAUCUGUUGAUCCAAUUUUGCCCUCAGCACCUGUCCGCGAGCUUUUGUUUUGAGAAUUCUCCAUCUAUCUGAUUCUUGUGUUUCCAUUAGCUUUCUCCAGGGACGGCUCAUCCCAUAGGCUCCUACCCCACUGUUUUGAGAAUGCUUUCAUCAGUCAUCUUCUCUCCAGUUAGAACCCCCAGAAUUUUGCCACCAUUCCACUUCUAGGAAUAGAGGAUAGGAUGUAACCCAUGUCAGCAUUUACUUAGUGUUACUGUUCACUCGUAUUUCAUCCCAUCACACCCUCAAAAGAACCCUAUCAGGUGGGUGUAAGGUUGGCAUUUGAUGGCAUGGCAGAUGAGGUACAGAGAGAUGAGACUUUUGCCCAGGGCCCUGUGGUGACAGCAUUUCAGAACCUGAGCUCCCCUGGAUCUUUCUGUUGCACACUGUUCCUCAGGAGUUGACUGUGGGAAGAUGAUACGGAGGGCCAGGAAGAACAUAGAUGAUUUCCAGUUUUGCAUUUUGAGGAUACAAAGGAAAAGAAAUUUUUUUGGAAAAAUUUGUCCUUUCAUUUGGCUUUCAGAGCUUGCUUCGCCCUUGAUUUUUUCAGUAGACCCUAAGCCUUCCACCUCUGGAAGGGUUAAGAACCAGCGAUUGUUAAACACCAAACCAGUGGAUCUGAAUCUGCAUCUCUGUGUAAAAAUAACUCAUUGGAUCUUACAUGGACAGCUACUUGGACAUCGGCGCUCAGGCCAGAAGUCUGGAAAUGUCCAUUUUCUUCUUGCUGUGUAACUGACCUUCCUAAGGACUCAAGACACAUCCUUACCGCAGGCCUGCAGCCACAUACCAAAACCAGCCCAGCCAUGUCCCAAAUAAUGUUUUCCUCUAUCUGUACCGUUCUUUCCUUUCUUCAAGAGGUACCCAGGCAAUAAAAACAAAUCGUAAGAACAUU